This 447-nucleotide ribosomal RNA is filed under the name uncultured bacterium. Its description in RNAcentral is "bacterial SSU rRNA". It matches the Rfam family "Bacterial small subunit ribosomal RNA", at positions 330 to 794 of the family's 1533-position model. The record is from RNAcentral.
GCCAGACUCCUACGGGAGGCAGCAGUGGGGAAUAUUGCACAAUGGGGGAAACCCUGAUGCAGCGACGCCGCGUGAGUGAAGAAGUAUUUCGGUAUGUAAAGCUCUAUCAGCAGGGAAGAAAAUGACGGUACCUGAUUAAGAAGCCCCGGCUAACUACGUGCCAGCAGCCGCGGUAAUACGUAGGGGGCAAGCGUUAUCCGGAUUUACUGGGUGUAAAGGGAGCGUAGACGGUGAUGCAAGUCAGAAGUGAAAGCCCGGGGCUCAACUCCGGGACUGCUUUUGAAACUGUGUGACUGGAGUGCAGGAGAGGUAAGCGGAAUUCCUGGUGUAGCGGUGAAAUGCGUAGAUAUCAGGAGGAACACCAGUGGCGAAGGCGGCUUACUGGACUGUAACUGACGUUGAGGCUCGAAAGCGUGGGGAGCAAACAGGAUUAGAUACCCCCGUACA